This 25-nucleotide non-coding RNA is filed under the name Mus musculus (house mouse). Lineage: Eukaryota; Metazoa; Chordata; Mammalia; Rodentia; Muridae. The record is from RNAcentral.
UGCGCUACAGUUCCUGGUCUCUCCU